This 512-nucleotide ribosomal RNA is filed under the name Bolitoglossa rufescens. RNAcentral's name for it is "partial 16S large subunit ribosomal RNA". It matches the Rfam family "Bacterial large subunit ribosomal RNA", at positions 1819 to 2597 of the family's 2925-position model. Lineage: Eukaryota; Metazoa; Chordata; Amphibia; Caudata; Plethodontidae. The record is from RNAcentral.
CGCCUUUUGAAAUAUAAAUAUAAAAGGUCCUGCCUGCCCAAUGACUUAUUUAAUGGCCGCGGUAUUAUGACCGUGCAAAGGUAGCGUAAUCAUUUGUCUUUUAAAUAAAGACCAGUAUGAAUGGCAAAACGAAAGCCUCACUGUCUCUCUAGCCAAGUCAAUGAAAUUGAUCUCUCCGUGCAGAAGCGGAGAUAAAAGUAUAAGACGAGAAGACCCUGUGGAGCUUUAAACUCUAAUUAACAACUACAAAUGCUCUAAUAUUAAGUUUUUGGUUGGGGCGACCAUGAGGUAUAAAAUAACCCUCACGACACUAAUUAAGAAGGACACUUCAAAUAACUAAUAUAGUAUAUUGACCCAAUAAUUGAUCACGAACUAAGUUACCCCAGGGAUAACAGCGCAAUCUGCUCAAAAAGUCCCUAUCGACGAGCAGGUUUACGACCUCGAUGUUGGAUCAGGACCCCCAAACAGCGCAACAGCUAUUAAAGGUUCGUUUGUUCAACGAUUAAAGUCCU